UACGUAGGUGGCAAGCGUUGUCCGGAAUUAUUGGGCGUAAAGCGCGCGCAGGCGGUCCUUUAAGUCUGAUGUGAAAGCCCACGGCUCAGCCGUGGAAGGUCAUUGGAAACUGGAGGACUUGAGUACAGAAGAGGAAAGCGGAAUUCCACGUGUAGCGGUGAAAUGCGUAGAGAUGUGGAGGAACACCAGUGGCGAAGGCGGCUUUCUGGUCUGUAACUGACGCUGAGGCGCGAAAGCGUGGGGAGCAAACAGG
Molecule: ribosomal RNA, 253 nt
Filed under: uncultured bacterium
Lineage: Bacteria
Description: partial 16S ribosomal RNA
Rfam family: Bacterial small subunit ribosomal RNA
Source: RNAcentral